RNAcentral lists this ribosomal RNA (791 nucleotides) under uncultured euryarchaeote. RNAcentral's name for it is "partial 16S ribosomal RNA". Lineage: Archaea; Methanobacteriati; Methanobacteriota. The record is from RNAcentral.
GUGCUCCCCCGCCAAUUCCUUUAAGUUUCAGCCUUGCGACCGUACUCCCCAGGCGGCCUGCUUAAUACCUUCGCUCCGGCACUGCAUGACCACGAAGACCACGCAACACCCAGCAGGCAGCGUUUACAGCUAGGACUACCCGGGUAUCUAAUCCGGUUUGCUCCCCUAGCUUUCAUCCCUCACCGUCAGAUCUGUUCUAGCUAGGCGCCUUCGCCACAGGUGGUCUUCCUAGGAUUACAGGAUUUUACUCCUCCCCCAGGAGUACCCCUAGCCUCUCCCAGUCUCUAGCCCAGUAGUUUCCUCAGCACGCCCCUACGUUAAACGCAGAGAUUUCACCAAGGACUUACCGAACCGGCUACGGAUGCUUUAGGCCAAAUAAUCGUGCUCACCACUUGGGACGCCGGUAUUACCGCGGCUGCUGCCACCGGUCUUGCCCAUCCCUUAUUCGCCAGACUUUUUACACCUGACAAAAGCCCGUCCGAAGACGAGCACUGAGGCUGGCUCUGUCACCCUUUCGGACAUUGCAGAAGUUUCGCGCCUGCUGCGCCCCGUAGGGCCUGGACUCGUGUCUCAGAGUCCAUCUCCGGGCUUCCCCGCUCAGGGCCCGUACCCGUUUUAGGCUAGUUGGGCCGUUACCCCAACUACUACCUGAUAGGCCGCAGACCCAUCCUCAGGCGCCGAAGCUUUCAGUCAUGGAGCAUUCCAGCGACCAUGACCUAUGGGGUAUUAGCCUCAGUUUCCCGAGAUUAUCCCCCACCUGAGGGCAGGUUAUCCACGUGUUACUGAGCAGU